GAGGGUACAGCUCAGUGGUAGAGCACAUGCUUAGCAUGCAGAAGGUCCUGGGUUCAAUCCUCAGUACCUCCA
Molecule: transfer RNA, 72 nt
Organism: Camelus ferus (Wild Bactrian camel)
Lineage: Eukaryota; Metazoa; Chordata; Mammalia; Artiodactyla; Camelidae
Rfam family: tRNA
About the family: Transfer RNA (tRNA) molecules are approximately 80 nucleotides in length. Their secondary structure includes four short double-helical elements and three loops (D, anti-codon, and T loops).
Source: Rfam